GACGGAGGGUGCAAGCGUUGUUCGGAAUUACUGGGCGUAAAGCGCGCGUAGGCGGUUUGAUAAGCGAGAUGUGAAAGCCCCGGGCUCAACCUGGGAAUGGCAUUUCGAACUGUCAGGCUAGAGUAUGGUAGAGGGUAGUGGAAUUUCCUGUGUAGCGGUGAAAUGCGUAGAUAUAGGAAGGAACACCAGUGGCGAAGGCGGCUACCUGGACCAAUACUGACGCUGAGGUGCGAAGGCGUGGGGAGCAAACAGG
Molecule: unclassified non-coding RNA, 253 nt
Filed under: uncultured Alteromonadales bacterium
Lineage: Bacteria; Pseudomonadati; Pseudomonadota; Gammaproteobacteria; Alteromonadales
Description: contains 16S-23S intergenic spacer region
Rfam family: Bacterial small subunit ribosomal RNA
Source: RNAcentral